Molecule: ribosomal RNA, 329 nt
Filed under: uncultured eukaryote
Lineage: Eukaryota
Description: partial 18S ribosomal RNA
Rfam family: Eukaryotic small subunit ribosomal RNA
Source: RNAcentral
CCCUUAGAUGUUCUGGGCCGCACGCGCGCUACACUGACGAUGGCAACGAGUUUUUCCUUCGCCGAAAGGUGUGGGUAAUCUUUUGAAACAUCGUCGUGCUGGGGAUAGAUCAUUGCAAUUUUUGAUCUUGAACGAGGAAUUCCUAGUAAGCGCGAGUCAUCAGCUCGCGUUGAUUACGUCCCUGCCCUUUGUACACACCGCCCGUCGCUACUACCGAUUGAAUGGUUUAGUGAGGACUCCUGAUUGGCGCCGCCGCCCCGGCAACGGAGCAGCGGACUGCCGAAAAGUUGUUCAAACUUGAUCAUUUAGAGGAAGUAAACGUCGUAACA